ACUCCUGCGGGAGGCAGCAGUGGGGAAUUUUGGACAAUGGGCGAAAGCCUGAUCCAGCAAUGCCGCGUGAGUGAAGAAGGCCUUCGGGUUGUAAAGCUCUUUUGUCAGGGAAGAAACGGUGAAAGCUAAUAUCUUUUGCUAAUGACGGUACCUGAAGAAUAAGCACCGGCUAACUACGUGCCAGCAGCCGCGGUAAUACGUAGAGUGCAAGCGUUAAUCGGAAUUACUGGGCGUAAAGCGUGCGCAGGCGGUUUUGUAAGUCUGAUGUGAAAUCCCCGGGCUCAACCUGGGAAUUGCAUUGGAGACUGCAAGGCUAGAAUCUGGCAGAGGGGGGUAGAAUUCCACGUGUAGCAGUGAAAUGCGUAGAUAUGUGGAGGAACACCGAUGGCGAAGGCAGCCCCCUGGGUCAAGAUUGACGCUCAUGCACGAAAGCGUGGGGAGCAAACAGGAUUAGAUACCCCAGUAGUCCC
RNAcentral lists this ribosomal RNA (470 nucleotides) under uncultured organism. Its description in RNAcentral is "partial 16S ribosomal RNA". It matches the Rfam family "Bacterial small subunit ribosomal RNA", at positions 335 to 797 of the family's 1533-position model. The record is from RNAcentral.